RNAcentral lists this long non-coding RNA (1129 nucleotides) under Citrus x clementina. RNAcentral's name for it is "Citrus clementina (C. clementina) long non-coding RNA (CCLE_LNC000163)". Lineage: Eukaryota; Viridiplantae; Streptophyta; Magnoliopsida; Sapindales; Rutaceae. The record is from RNAcentral.
CAACUCCAAAACCUGGUAAGUCUCUCGCAAAACCUGAAUUUAGAUGAAUGGACUUCAAACGAAAGGAUUUUCUUACAAAAGCUAAAAAAAUAUAACGGCAUGGUGAGAAUGGGAAAAUGAAAAUAGAAAGCAAAAGAAAAAGUUUCCAUCCGAUAAGACAAGUACAAAAUAAUCCAAGUUCUUAUUUGCCAUGCCAAUAUUAUUCAUGAAGAACUAAUCUGAUUUCUUUUCCAGAUAAGGUUAGUAACAAUUAAUCUGUAAAUAACUGAACCAACUUGGUUACUACGACAUUACUCUUUCGCUUCCGCACUCAUUUUCUGCACAGUUGCGGUUCAUCAACGGCCGCGUUCACCAAAACGAGUUCACUCUCCCCACUUCACUUAUUUCCCCACCGUUAUGUCUCUCCAAGUGCAGCAGCAAGACAUGAACUCCUAUCAUUAUAAGCAAUAUAAAAAGCCCUCCUAAAAAUCCACCACCUGUUUGGCCAGAGAAACUCCAUUACUCAUUUCCACACUCUCAAUUUUCAGCCCUUUCAUCAAACAAAAGCAUUACUUACCCAUGUUUAGACAUAACUGACUUCAGCACAUAAAUUACGACAAGCUGGUCAAUUCACGUAAACAAGGAAAAAUUAACUCAAUCAAGUGAAGUAGGCACAAAAUGACCUCAAUGAGACAUCAGAGACCUCUAAAAUCAAAUCAAAUUCAGUUAAACAAAGAAUCACUGAUCAAAGAUAAGCAAAAGAAAAAAAGCAAUGAAUAACAGAAAGAAAUUUCUUAUAAAAAUUCAAUAAAAUUAAAAAAAAAAGCUAAUCAUCUUUUCUGGUUAAGUGAUUUCGUCAGCAAAUAAGAGAAAAUAGAAAUUCUGGAAUAUACCUAGGGUUUCUAGCUUUGGGAAUUUACCUAAUGAGAAAUCAGUCUCUCUGUUUCUAGAUUUGUAACUAUCAUGGCCGAGCGACCACGAUCAGGUGAGAUAAUCGGAUUUUGCACCGGCGACGAUGCAAAUGUUUGGGUUUGGGGUUGGGUUUCGGUUUGACGAUAGACCAAGGAAUGUUAGGGCUUUGGGUGAUUUAAGGAUUUUAUUUAAUUCAAGUAAAGUGAAAAUAAUUGAAGUACCCCUAAGUUGGUUACGC